Molecule: long non-coding RNA, 867 nt
Filed under: Phascolarctos cinereus (koala)
Lineage: Eukaryota; Metazoa; Chordata; Mammalia; Diprotodontia; Phascolarctidae
Description: lncRNA (ENSPCIG00000036940.1)
Source: RNAcentral
AUGCCCCCACCCGUGGACACUGAGGGGGCCCCAGGGCUGUGGGGACAUCCGCUGCAUGCCGGGGUUUCGCCUCCCGUUCCCUCUUCUCCACAGUGCAGUCGUGCUGGAUGGGAAGAUCUACGCCACGGGAGGCAUCGUGAGCAGCGAGGGACCGGCCCUGGGCAACAUGGAGGCCUACGAGCCGACCACCAACACGUGGACCCUCCUUCCACACAUGCCCUGCCCCGUCUUCCGGCACGGCUGCGUGGUCAUCAAGAAGUAUAUCCAGAGCGGAUGAGGGCCCGGGCCAUGUGUGUGGGGCUGCGGGCACGGCUGGGGAGGCGGGCCACACAUAAUGCAACGCUCACCUCAAUGGCGAGAAGCGCAGAUCGACACCGCAGAACCCCCUGCACUGGACUCGAGAGCAUUCUCUACCUCGAAUGUAGAACAGUCGCCCGCACCCUGACGGCAGGGAGCCGCGCGCGGCUGGUGCUCCAUGCUAGGGAUGUUCGCGUGCGGGCUUGGAGUCACUCGUGCCCGUCCCAGAGUCCAGGCUUCAGCCAGCCCAGUAAUAAGCACAAUGAAACUCCACCCGUCCUCGGUCAUCGCGUCUUCAUGUUACACAGGGUGCGGGCGGCCGUCAGUGCCAGCGCAGCUGGAGCGUCUGCCUCCGAGGGCGGCCCAGCCAGCAUCCCAGCGGGAUGGAGUGCAGGCGAUGACUGACGAUGUGUCCAAUUCCCUUCCUCUCCUCAUCGGUCACACUGGAGCAAAGCUGGCAAUUUCUGUGAGCUCUCUGAACAGGGUUCUCUGGUACAGGAUUGUACAUAGCUAUGUUUAUUGGUUAGCUCUUGGUAUACCGUAAUAAAUCUAUUUAUAGACCUAGACUCA